This is a long non-coding RNA of Oreochromis niloticus (Nile tilapia), 431 nucleotides long. RefSeq lists it as uncharacterized. The record is from RefSeq and is a predicted model, not a curated record. NCBI's taxonomy places the organism in Eukaryota, Metazoa, Chordata, Actinopteri, Cichliformes, Cichlidae. The transcript is spliced from 3 exons.
GGAUCGAGUUCUGUGCAAUCCCCAGCUUUUUGUUGGUUUGGUCUCCGCAUCUUCUUUCCGACAAAGGGCUGUAUCGCGACCGAUUGCGCCCAGACGCCAAGAGACGGUACUUUCAAAAAAUUGCGUGCAUCGGUAAUGUGGACCCGUAUGAAAUAAGGAAGCGGAGUGGAAACCCAGACGACCUACCGCCUUUGUCCUAUCCCGAUCUUUGCAUACCUUGUCUGUGGAGUCAGCGCAUACACAGCAAACCAGUUUAAGAAUUAUAAAUCCCUGGAGGCCCACAUCCAAUUCACGAACGGCUGGGUGCAAGAUUUGUCCAUCUUUAUGCCUCCACGCUGCGACAACUGUACGUUGUCGUUAAGACAAAGGUACUGCACUCACAACGACUGAAUGAAACUGCACUGUGACCUCGUUGUGUGGACACAGAGAGA